GAAUUUUGGGCAAUGGGCGAAAGCCUGACCCAGCAACGCCGCGUGAAGGAUGAAGUAUUUCGGUAUGUAAACUUCGAAAGAAUGGGCAGAAUAAAUGACGGUACCAUUUAUAAGCUCCGGCUAACUACGUGCCAGCAGCCGCGGUAAUACGAAGGUGGCGAGCGUUGUUCGGAUUUACUGGGCGUAAAGAGCACGUAGGCGGUUGGGUAAGCCUCUUGGGAAAUCUCCCGGCUUAACCGGGAAAGGUCGAGGGGAACUACUCAGCUAGAGGACGGGAGAGGAGCGCGGAAUUCCCGGUGUAGCGGUGAAAUGCGUAGAUAUCGGGAAGAAGGCCGGUGGCGAAGGCGGCGCUCUGGAACGUACCUGACGCUGAGGUGCGAAAGCGUGGGGAGCAAACAGG
Molecule: ribosomal RNA, 400 nt
Filed under: uncultured bacterium
Lineage: Bacteria
Description: bacterial SSU rRNA
Rfam family: Bacterial small subunit ribosomal RNA
Source: RNAcentral